This 729-nucleotide long non-coding RNA is filed under the name Monodelphis domestica (gray short-tailed opossum). RNAcentral describes it as "lncRNA (ENSMODG00000048695.1)". The record is from RNAcentral. Lineage: Eukaryota; Metazoa; Chordata; Mammalia; Didelphimorphia; Didelphidae.
AAAUCCAAAGCACACCAGGAAGUGGGGACAUCUUUCAGGGGGCUCCUGCUGGAGGGAAGUCUUGGGCUGAAACUGCAUUAGGAGUGAAUCGCAUGCCAGAACGAAAAACCCUGUAUUAAGAGCGUGCUCGAGCCCAGGGCUAUGUUGAGAGCUGGGCUCCCAACCGCCGAGGCUGGAGUCUCUCCCCCCAGAGAAUUGAGAUCCAGAGAGGGGAAGGAAAGCAACCGAGAGGAUCGUGGCCAGAAGAAGCGUUCGGGGCUGCGAAGUUCUCGGGAUAAUGGCUGGAACCGGAGCCAGGAAGCGGUUGCUGCUUUGAUCUUUGAGACAUUUAGCGCCACUGGGACAGGGAGGGACUGAAGCAAUACCUGUGACCGGAACCAGACAGGGCUCCACCCCAGGACACAGAUGACUCCCUCCUGACUUCCCACAGUCCUCUUUGUUCAACCUUUAUGGAUCGAGAUCUUUACAAUGUCAGCCAUGGGGAUGAAAUACAAAAUGACGGGUGAAAUUAAGGAUGUGCUUACAAAGAAACUUACUUAAUGGCUUUUUUUCCUUGCUGCCCGACUUUAAAUAUGCCUUAAAUAGAUUAAGAGCCCAAUAGUUUAUUGAUCAGGAAAGCUGGAGUAUUGAGUGGCAAGCUGACUGAGACAGGAGCAUUCUUAAUUGCCUCUGGAUGAUGAGGUGCUUAAUUUGAUAACUGGCCUGCACACACUUGUAUCCCUUGCUGAC